This 175-nucleotide non-coding RNA is filed under the name Candidatus Gastranaerophilales bacterium. RNAcentral's name for it is "6S RNA". It matches the Rfam family "6S / SsrS RNA". From Rfam's summary of the family: E. coli 6S RNA was the first non coding RNA to be sequenced, but its function was unknown until recently. It consists of 184 nucleotides that fold into an extended hairpin structure with a large single-stranded internal bulge. Lineage: Bacteria; Bacillati; Candidatus Melainabacteria; Candidatus Gastranaerophilales. The record is from RNAcentral.
AAACCCCUUGUAUGGUUGCAUUGUUUUGAUCCUACAAAGUUUUUGAAUAGGGAGUUCUGUCUCCAAAGCGCAGUGCCGUACGUCUGAUGUGAAUCAGUAAACGAAAAUCUGUGCGGGGGAACACCCACCUGGUGAACGUACCAGGGUUCAAAACCUCAACUGUGCAGGGGGUUUU